RNAcentral lists this ribosomal RNA (319 nucleotides) under Enterococcus faecium. RNAcentral describes it as "bacterial SSU rRNA". It matches the Rfam family "Bacterial small subunit ribosomal RNA", at positions 952 to 1272 of the family's 1533-position model. Lineage: Bacteria; Bacillati; Bacillota; Bacilli; Lactobacillales; Enterococcaceae. The record is from RNAcentral.
CGAAGCAACGCGAAGAACCUUACCAGGUCUUGACAUCCUUUGACCACUCUAGAGAUAGAGCUUCCCCUUCGGGGGCAAAGUGACAGGUGGUGCAUGGUUGUCGUCAGCUCGUGUCGUGAGAUGUUGGGUUAAGUCCCGCAACGAGCGCAACCCUUAUUGUUAGUUGCCAUCAUUCAGUUGGGCACUCUAGCAAGACUGCCGGUGACAAACCGGAGGAAGGUGGGGAUGACGUCAAAUCAUCAUGCCCCUUAUGACCUGGGCUACACACGUGCUACAAUGGGAAGUACAACGAGUUGCGAAGUCGCGAGGCUAAGCUAAU